ACAUGGCAACAGGGCUGAGAUACAUGUC
Molecule: non-coding RNA, 28 nt
Filed under: Cricetulus griseus (Chinese hamster)
Lineage: Eukaryota; Metazoa; Chordata; Mammalia; Rodentia; Cricetidae
Source: RNAcentral